UCGAGAAUCAUUCGCAAUGGGCGAAAGCCUGACGGUGCGACGCCGCGUGGAGGAUGAAGGCCCUAGGGUCGUAAACUCCUGUCAUCAGGGAGUAAUGGCUCAUAUAGUAACUGAUAUGGGUCUUGAUAGUACCUGAAGAGGAAGGGACGGCAAACUUCGUGCCAGCAGCCGCGGUAAUACGAAGGUCCCAAGCGUUGUUCGGAUUUACUGGGCGUAAAGAGUCUGUAGGCGGUGGGGUAAGUCAGAUGUGAAAUCCCGGGGCUCAACCCCGGAACUGCAUCCGAUACUGCCUUACUUGAGGGUCGGAGGGGAGUCUGGAAUUCUCGGCGUAGCAGUGAAAUGCGUAGAUAUCGGGAGGAACACCUGUGGCGAAGGCGGCCACCUGGUUGGAUACUGACGCUGAGACGCGAAAGCGUGGGGAGCAAACAGGAUUAGAUACCCAGGUAGUCCCUGAGCGGGCUGGCAAGGCGCAU
RNAcentral lists this ribosomal RNA (473 nucleotides) under uncultured bacterium. RNAcentral describes it as "bacterial SSU rRNA". It matches the Rfam family "Bacterial small subunit ribosomal RNA", at positions 355 to 825 of the family's 1533-position model. The record is from RNAcentral.